RNAcentral lists this ribosomal RNA (273 nucleotides) under uncultured bacterium. Its description in RNAcentral is "partial 16S ribosomal RNA". It matches the Rfam family "Bacterial small subunit ribosomal RNA", at positions 85 to 354 of the family's 1533-position model. The record is from RNAcentral.
CCGCCGGCGACCGGCGCACGGGUGAGUAACGCGUAUGCAACCUGCCCGUUUCAGCGGGAUAACCCGGAGAAAUCCGGCCUAAUACCGCAUGUGGCCGAGGGGAGGCAUCUUCUUUCGGCCAAAGGAGGCGACUCCGGAGACGGAUGGGCAUGCGUGACAUUAGCUAGUUGGCGGGGUAACGGCCCACCAAGGCGACGACGUCUAGGGGUUCUGAGAGGAAGGUCCCCCACACUGGUACUGAGACACGGACCAGACUCCUACGGAAGGCAGCAG